GAAAAGGUGUUAUAUGCAUUAAAUGGAUACCUAAACAUCAAAACACAUGUGGGCGUUUGUACACGAAACAUUGUAGUGAGUAAGAGUUUGCUGUGACCUACAAUUUCCCAUAAUUAGAAAACUAAAUCUAAAAAAGAUAUACUUUAUUUUAAAUAAAUACAGUAAGAAAUUUAGCGAACUGAACCAUCUAAGUAGCUAAAGAAAAAAAUCAAGCGAGAAUCUGUUAGUAGUGGCGAGCGAAAGCAGUAUAGGCUAAAACGAAACUCUUUAUCUAAUGAAAUCAGCCAAAGAAGGUAAGCCCUGUAAGAUAAUUUUUAAGAGUGUCGGAUAUAAAGUAAAAUUACACGAGUCAUGUGUUGUUUGAAUAAUACGGAACCACCCGUAAAGUCUAUAAGUUUUGAUGCUUUAUAGCGAACAAGUACUGUGAAGGAAAGGUGAAAAAACAUUUGCGAAGAUUGAAAAAAAAUUGAAAUUUAAUGCUAACAAGCAGUCGCAGCUUUUUAAAGUGACGGCGUACCUUUUGUAUAAGGAUCAACAAGUUUAUUUCAAUAGCGAGCUUAAAUAUUUAAAUAUGUAGGCGGAAUCAAAUUGAGCUUUAAAAAGUUUUUUAGUUAUUGAAAUAAGACCCGAAACUAGUAUGAUCUAGCCAUGAACAGGUUGAAUUUCUAGCGGUAACGCUGAUUGAAGGACCGAACCGGUGUGUGUGGAAAAACACUCGGAUGAUUUGUGGCUAGGGGUGAAAGGCUAAUCAAAUCUAGAGAUAGCUGGUUUUCUGCGAAAUCUAUUUUAGUAGAGCGUUUAAAAUCUUUAGUUUAAGGUAGAGCACUCGAUGCGCAAUGGGGGCAUACCGCUUUACUGCGUGUAUUGAAACUCCGAAUAUAAAUUAAAAGAUUUUAAUCAGACAGACUGUGAGUGCUAAGAUUCAUAGUCGAGAGGGAAACAGCCCAGACUAACAAUUAAGGUCUCGAAAAAUAGUUAAGUAAAAAAAGUGUGAAGAAAUAAUGACAGCCGGUAGGUGAGCUUAGAGGCAGCUAACCUUUAAAGAGUGCGUAAUAGCUCACUGGUCUAGUUUUUUUGUGCUGAAAAUGUAAAGAGAUUAAAACUAUUUACCGAAAUUGUAGAUUUAACUAUUAUUAAUAGUUAAAUGGUAGCAGAACGUUCUAUAUAUUUAGAAAGGUUUAUGGUUACAUAAACUGAAAAAAUUAGAAUUGAAAAUGUUGAUAUGAGUAGCGAUAAACCACGUGAGAAACGUGGUCGCCUUAAGUUCCAGGUUUCCAAAACAAGGCUAAUCCGUUUUGGUAAAGUUAAUCGGUCUCUAAAAAAAUAACGAAGGUUUACUUUGAUGGGUAAAAAUUAUUAUUCUUUUAUUUUUCUAGCGUGACAAAGUGUAAAUACUAUUUUUAUUUUAUGGUAAUGAAAUAAAGGUUUUAUAGCAUUUUCAGGAAAUAGCGCGGAAAUUUAAACCGUACUUAAACCGACACAGGUGAACAAAUUUAGUAAAUUAAGGCGCUUGAGAGAAUUGUGUUGAAGGAACUCGGCAAAAUGACUCUGUAACUUCGGAAUAAGGAGUAACUUAAAUAAGGGCAACCUUUUUAAGUUGUCACAAAAUCGGGGACAGCGACUGUUUAAUAAAAACACAGGUCUCUGCAAAUUUGCAAAAAGACGUAUUGAGACUGACGCCUGCCCAGUGCUGCAAGAUUAAGAGGAAAAGUCAUUUGGCUUUAAUUUGAAACCCCAGUAAACGGCGGCUGUAACUCUGACGGUCCUAAGGUAGCGAAAUUCCUUGGCGCAUAAUUGGCGUCCCGCAUGAAUGGCGUAACGAUUGUCCCACUGUCUCCAGCACAAACUCAGUGAAAUUGAAUUUUCCGUGAAGAUGCGGAAUACCUGCGGCUAGACGGAAAGACCCUGUGCACUUUUACUGCAGUUAUACAUUGUACUAAGAACUUUUAUGUGUAGAAUAAGUGGCAGUUGUUUUUAAUUAUUAUGUGUAAUUAAAAAAGACUUUUGCGCAAGCACAUUGUUUAAACUUCUUUGAAAUACCACUCUUAAAAGUUUUUAGCACUAACUAUUUAAAACCAUGUAUAAUAGGUAGUUUGACUGGGGCGGUCGCCUCCCAAAAAGUACCGGAGGCGCGCGAUGGUAAGUUUAAAUUGACAAAAUACCAAUUUGUAAGCGUAAUAGUACAUACUUGCCUGACUGUAAGAUUGACAAAUCAAGCAGGGACGAAAGUCGGUUAUAGUGAUCCGAUGAUUCUGUGUGGAAAAGGUCAUCGCUCAACGAAUAAAAAGUACGCCAGGGAUAACAGGCUAAUCAUUCCCUAGAGACCCUAUCGACGGAAUGGUUUGGCACCUCGAUGUUGAGUCAUCGCAUCCUGGAGCUGCAAAAGGUUCCAAGGGUUUGACUGUUCGUGUGCGAAGGCGGUACGUGAUUUGAGUUUAGAACGUCGUGAGACAGUUUGGUCCCGUGCGAUUGUAGGUGUUGAAAAUUGAAAGGAUUAGACUCUAGUACGAGAGGACCGAGAAAAGCGAAUCUCUGGUGUAUCGAUUGUUGAACCAUCAGCAUUGUCGAGUAGCUAAAUUCGUAAUAAAUAAUCGCUGAAAGCAUCUAAGCGAGAAGUUAACCUUAAAACUAGUUUUCAAACAGUUGUAAUAGACGAUUACAUUGAUAGGCUUUUAGUGUAAGAAUUGUAAAAUUUUUAGCUGAAAAGUACUAAAUUAAAAUUAUACCUUUUUA
This 2733-nucleotide ribosomal RNA is filed under the name Halamphora calidilacuna. RNAcentral describes it as "LSU rRNA". It matches the Rfam family "Bacterial large subunit ribosomal RNA". Lineage: Eukaryota; Bacillariophyta; Bacillariophyceae; Naviculales; Amphipleuraceae. The record is from RNAcentral.